Long non-coding RNA from Poecile atricapillus (Black-capped chickadee), 278 nucleotides. RefSeq lists it as uncharacterized. Lineage: Eukaryota; Metazoa; Chordata; Aves; Passeriformes; Paridae. The record is from RefSeq and is a predicted model, not a curated record. The transcript is spliced from 3 exons.
AGUUUCAGCUGAUGAGCAUAUCAAACUGUUUUCCAUGCAGAUUCCCUAUUCACCUGGAUGCCUUUCUGAGAGUUAGGACUCUUUGCAUAGAUGAGCUCUCCUGAUUGCCUGUUAUAAAAACAGGUGCUAAAAUAAACAAAUAGUGAUGGAGCACAGGAACUACCACUGCAGCACUCACAAGAGCGUGUCACAGCCUGGCCUAACCUUUGUCUUCUACCUAUUCCAGCAAGAAAAACAAGGAGCACCACAUGGUGUUCCAGGCUGUCACUGCACUCUUC